This 407-nucleotide ribosomal RNA is filed under the name uncultured bacterium. Its description in RNAcentral is "partial 16S ribosomal RNA". It matches the Rfam family "Bacterial small subunit ribosomal RNA", at positions 28 to 526 of the family's 1533-position model. The record is from RNAcentral.
GACGAACGCUGGCGGCGUGCCUAAUACAUGCAAGUAGGACGCAGUUGCGAACGGGUGAGUAACGCGUAGGUAACUACCUAUUAGAGGGGGAUAACUAUUGGAAACGAUAGCUAAUACCGCAUACUAGUAGAUGGACCUGCGUUGUAUUAGCUAGUAGGUAGGGUAAUGGCCUACCUAGGCAACGAUACAUAGCCGACCGGGGAGGGUGGUCGGACAAACGGGGACUUAGAACCGGCCCAGAAUCCUACUGGAGGCAGCAGUAGGGAAUCUUCGGAAAUGGGGGGAACCCUAACCGAGCGACGCCGCGGGAGUGAAGAAGGUUUUCGGAUCGUAAAGCUCUGUUGUUAAGGAAGCGGUACUUAACCAGAAAGGGACGGCUAACUACGUGCCAGCCGCCGCGGUAAUAC